GAUGAACGCUGGCGGCGUGCCUAACACAUGCAAGUCGAACGGAAUUUACAUGAAGCCUAGCGAUUGUAAAUUUAGUGGCGGACGGGUGAGUAACGCGUGGGUAACCUGCCUUGUACUGGGGGACAACAGUUGGAAACGACUGCUAAUACCGCAUAAGCGCACAGCUUCGCAUGAAGCAGUGUGAAAAACUCUGGUGGUACAAGAUGGACCCGCGUCUGAUUAGCUGGUUGGUGAGGUAACGGCCCACCAAGGCGACGAUCAGUAGCCGGACCGAGAGGUUGAACGGCCACAUUGGGACUGAGACACGGCCCAGACUCCUACGGGAGGCAGCAGUGGGGAAUAUUGCACAAUGGGCGCAAGCCUGAUGCAGCAACGCCGCGUGGAGGAAGACGGUUUUCGGAUUGUAAACUCCUGUUCUUAGUGAAGAAUAAUGACGGUAGCUAAGGAGCAAGCCACGGCUAACUACGUG
Molecule: ribosomal RNA, 469 nt
Filed under: uncultured bacterium
Lineage: Bacteria
Description: bacterial SSU rRNA
Rfam family: Bacterial small subunit ribosomal RNA
Source: RNAcentral